This 443-nucleotide ribosomal RNA is filed under the name uncultured bacterium. Its description in RNAcentral is "partial 16S ribosomal RNA". It matches the Rfam family "Bacterial small subunit ribosomal RNA", at positions 28 to 507 of the family's 1533-position model. The record is from RNAcentral.
GAUGAACGCUGGCGGCAUGCCUAACACAUGCAAGUCGAUCGGUAAGGCUCUUCGGAGUACACUAGAGUCGUACGGCUGAGUAACGCGUAGGAACACACCCUGCAGCGAUGUAUAAGACACCUAAAGGUGUUCUAAUACCGCAUACGGUCUUCGGAUUAAAGCAUUUAUGAGCUGAAGGAGUGGCCUGCGUCAUUUUAGAUAGUUGGUGUGGUAAUGGCUCACCAAGGCGAUGAUGUGUAGCUGGUCUGAGAGGAUGAUCAGCCAGACUGGAACUGAGACACGGUCCAGACUCCUACGGGAGGCAGCAGUGAGGAAUAUUUCACCAUGAGCGAAAGCUUGAUGGAGCAAUGCCGCGUGAAGGAUGAAGGCCCUCGGGUUGUAAACUGCUUUUAUAAGAGAAGAUUAUGACGGUAACUUAUGAAUAAGGGACGGCUAACUACGUG